CGGGGUAUAGCGCAGUCCGGUUAGCGCAUCUGCUUUGGGAGCAGAGGGUCGCAAGUUCGAAUCUUGCUACCCCGA
RNAcentral lists this transfer RNA (75 nucleotides) under Bacteroidia bacterium. RNAcentral describes it as "tRNA-Pro". It matches the Rfam family "tRNA". From Rfam's summary of the family: Transfer RNA (tRNA) molecules are approximately 80 nucleotides in length. Their secondary structure includes four short double-helical elements and three loops (D, anti-codon, and T loops). Lineage: Bacteria; Pseudomonadati; Bacteroidota; Bacteroidia. The record is from RNAcentral.